AUCUGUGUUAAUGUUAGUUAAUAAAAACACAAUCGUUCAGUGUUUGUUCAUGUUUUUGUUGCUAUUACGUGACGUAGCGGUGUCUGACUAGGGGCAAGACGUGGGCUGAUGACGUCAUCGUCACAGAAAAUAUAUGGAUUCACUGUCAACAUGAAAAUGCAAGGGCGGCGUUUUCAAAUUUAUCCACUCUGGAACCCGGUUUCAAAAAAUAUUGUUUUACUUUCCCAAAACGCCAGAUCCCUGUGGACGAAACGCCUAUACGAUACAAAAUUUAUGCAUAUAUAGCAAAACGCAUCUCUGUGUGGGCGGGGCUUAAGUACAACACUGCCUGCAAUACUCUCCACAGGGAGAAUAUCUGGUGUCCUGAGGCUCUUGAACACAAUUUCGAUAAACAAAGACCGCAGAAAGAGGCAAGCCAUGUGCAUAAAAGAGUCAAGCGGACACAUAACGUGGGCAUUGCGGAAGCUGUAAGGCAUAAUUCAAUCCAGAAACUGGAAUAAAUUCACCUCAUAAUCAGGCAGUGAUUACUUAUCUCGUGGAGGAAUUAAAGACGUCUUUUGAAGAUGCAGACCCUGAGUCUAUAAAAGCUUUUGCAGGACUUACUAUGAAACACUGUGGAGGAAAUACACUUUGUCUCUGCCAAAAAAGUUACAGAUUAGGGACUCCAUUAUUGCUGGAGUCCAGGUUCAGGGUCAUUCAAACAGAUGCGGAGAGAGAACUGUGGCAGACAGCAAUGCUGGAACUGAUGUCUGAUGAGGAGGAUGCCAUGGCUGAUGGAAGGCCGGUGUGGGUUGUGAGAUCUCCACCUCACAGGAGCCCACAGUUGUCAGACCUUUGCCAGCAACUUCAGCGCAGAUUGGAGGUAGAUGCGCGUUCUUGCACACCAUCAGCGUGUAAUACCUAAUGAAACUGAGCAAGAAGGACAUUCAUUUGGUAGGAUACAUCAUCAUUAUACGUCUGAAUUGGUAUCAUUCCGGAAGUAUCCUAAACUGUUGGAAUUUGAUGUAUACACUCAGUGGUACUUCAGAUACGUCCGGAAAUAUGUGGUGUAUACAGGAGUUUCCUAGUAAAGAUACACCUCUUUUCAUGCAGUGACAUAUAUGAAAAAUGUUGAAGAAAAAAAAGAAAGAAUUAUUUGUGCAAAAGGCCGAUCGCUAAGUUACACUCCAUCAGAUGACAGGUGCGUCACAAUGUGCAUCACGAGAGAGCACCAGAAUUCAAAUAAACAAUAUUCCGCUUAUCUUUGACUUUUUUUUUUUAGUGGACGGCCUCAUUCUGUUUGUGACACUGUAUGCUACAAAACCAUGCUGUUUUUUAUUACCAAGACGCAGUUUUUUGAGCGUAGAUUAUUCCAUAACGGAUACUGUAUGAACAAUACUGUCCCCAAAGAACUGAGAUGAAAACAAAGGAAUUACUAUCCAUAUUACAACAUUAUUGCUUCGUUGGACUAAAAGUGCUUUAUGACAUGUCGUUCAGUGGACCCUUACCUUUCUAACUAAACCGGGAUUUACAGCUGUGGAUGUGUUUAUGACUCGCUAUUACAAUGAAUCAGUUAGAUAUCUCAGCAGGUCAAGGAUGCUCUGCCCAAGCCAGUGGAAGGAGUCAGGUCUUGCUGAUAACACACAUUGUGGUGAAAGUGGCAGAGAGAGCUAUGUGGGUGCACGCAAGUCAAUGCAGGAAGGUUCCAGCGCCACCAGAGGGUGACAGAUCAGUAAAGUGAUUGACCAGCUGCCCCGUGCCAAGGGGGAUGUCUGGCUGACUGAGGUGAACAAACAUACAGUGGUGUAUGCGAGCUGAACAAUGCAGCAACAUCACUGUGUGGGAGUGAUCUGAGGUCAUUACAGGCUGUUGUAUGACAGCAAGGGACUUAAGCUGUUAGGAAACAAGAGCCAAGAGAGAGAUCGAAAAGAAAGUGUCCUCAAUGAAAGUCCAAGCAGAACAAUCAAGUUGGGCAAGAGACAAUUAUGUUCUGAGGGAACACAGGCUGUGGAAUAGAGCGGAGAAGUUCUUUCAUGCUGUAAUUCUAGUGUUUGGAGUCAGUCUUCUUCAAACUGAAGUUGAAAUCAUGAGAUAUGAACUGAUAAGUUUCAUGAACACUACCAAGGUGAUGAUGGAAGGUGUCAAGGAGGAACUACGAGGGCUGAGGCUGACUGUACUGCAAAACUGACUUGUUCUGGACCAGCUCCCGACAUCUUCUGGGGGGCGGAGUGCAAUUGUGGGGUCUGCGUGUUGCACUUACAUUCCUGACAAUGAUGCUGAUGGCCACGUGAUAGAUGAUGGUAUUAAGAACAUAACUAAUGCAACUGACAGGUUGACAGCUAGAGAUGUAAAUGCAAAUGAUGACUGGGGAUGGAAUUGGUUUAAGGGUUUAUGGCAGAAAGCAGAAUACAUUGGGUUAAGUAUUGUCUCAACACUGGCCAUGAUUUUAUUUUUGCUGUGUAUGUGGCCUUCUGUAGUGGGAAUGAUUAGAAGAGCUGUAAAUUCAACCAUGAAAUCUUUAAUAGUUCAUCAGAUGGUAAUGUACAAUGUCUUGUGUGAAAGUAAGAAUAAUGUGAGUGUUUCUGAUAAAAAUGUUGAAGUCAGAGAGAGGCUGAAAUCUGACAUCAUUGUCCAUGUUAUGAGAUGAUACAACCCGAAGGUAAGAUAAGGAAGUUUCUUCUGUUUGAAUAUCACAAUAAGAUUUUUCAAAUAUAAGAGUUAUUGUUUUCUUUAUGGCUUGCUUAUAUGUUUGGAAUGUCUAUGUUCCAUAAAAAAACAGUGCAAAUGCUUUUUUCACCCAUAUGUGAUGGUGUGAUGGUGAUUUAAAUCCUAGUAAAUUGAAGAGGUAUCAUAUCGAUCACAAGUGCAGUAUGGAGUACCUCAAGGCUCAGUACUAGGGCUGUUACUCUUCAUGCUUUACAUAUUACCCUUGUGAGAUAU
Cyprinus carpio (common carp) is the source of this 2919-nucleotide long non-coding RNA. RefSeq lists it as uncharacterized. The transcript is spliced from 6 exons. NCBI's taxonomy places the organism in Eukaryota, Metazoa, Chordata, Actinopteri, Cypriniformes, Cyprinidae. The record is from RefSeq and is a predicted model, not a curated record.